GAUGAACGCUCGCUACAGGCUUAACACAUGCAAGUCGCGGGGCAGCAUGGGGGUUGCUUGCAAUCCCCGAUGGCGACCGGCGCACGGGUGAGUAACGCGUAUCCAACCUGCCCUUCACCACGGGAUAACCCGGCGAAAGUCGGACUAAUACCGUAUGUUGUCCAUUGACGGCAUCCGAUUUGGACGAAAGGUUUGGCGGUGAAGGAUGGGGAUGCGUCCGAUUAGCUGGACGGCGGGGUGACGGCCCACCGUGGCGACGAUCGGUAGGGGUUCUGAGAGGAAGGUCCCCCACACUGGAACUGAGACACGGUCCAGACUCCUACGGGAGGCAGCAGUGAGGAAUAUUGGUCAAUGGGCGUAAGCCUGAACCAGCCAAGUAGCGUGCAGGAGGACGGCCCUAUGGGUUGUAAACUGCUUUUAUGCGGGGAUAAAGUGGCCCACGUGUGGGUUUUUGCAGGUACCGCAUGAAUAAGGACCGGCUAAUUCCGUG
Molecule: ribosomal RNA, 490 nt
Filed under: uncultured bacterium
Lineage: Bacteria
Description: partial 16S ribosomal RNA
Rfam family: Bacterial small subunit ribosomal RNA
Source: RNAcentral